RNAcentral lists this ribosomal RNA (526 nucleotides) under uncultured bacterium. RNAcentral describes it as "bacterial SSU rRNA". It matches the Rfam family "Bacterial small subunit ribosomal RNA", at positions 66 to 575 of the family's 1533-position model. The record is from RNAcentral.
ACGGACUCCCGAAUAGGUAACUUGAAGGGAAGUCAGUGGCGAACGGGUGAGUAAUGAAUGGGUAACGUACCCCGGACUCAGGGAUAGCGGCGUCCUUUGCACUUCGGUGUGAAGGACUUUGCGAAAGUGCCGGUAAUACCUGAUGACCCCGCGCGACCGCAUGGUGGUGCGGGCAAAGCUCCGGCGGUCCGGGAUCGGCCCAUUUCCUAUCAGCUUGUUGGUGGGGUAACGGCCUACCAAGGCUGCGACGGGUAUCGGGUGUGAGAGCAUGACCCGACACAUCGGGACUGAGACACGGCCCGGACACCUACGGGUGGCUGCAGCAACGAAUAUUCCGCAAUGGGCGCAAGCCUGACGGAGCGACGCCGCGUGCAGGAUGAAGUCCCUCGGGAUGUAAACUGCUGUCAGGGGUUAGAAAUUCAUGAUCGGCCCCACAGGAAGCCUCGGCUAAUUCCGUGCCAGCAGCCGCGGUAAUACAGAAGAGGCGAGCGUUGUUCGGAAUCACUGGGCUUAAAGCGCGUGUAGG